GAUAGAGAUAAGAAAGGCCAAUGCCCUUCAUAUCCACUGACAAAGCCAGAUAUAUUAAGGAGAAGCUCAGCUCAGCACUCAGCCAAGGCCCAUUCUGGCAAGAUGAAUCCCACCAGCUUCUUCCUCCUUACAAUGCUCCUCGUUCUGGUGACAGAAACAGCAGCAAGGAGACCCCGUGAAAAAUUCUCACAAGAGUCUGAAGAGAGUUCUUCUAGUGCAGCCUCUGAAGUUACUUCAUCGGGGGAAAGCGGGGGAUCAAGUUCUUCCCAGGACGACAACAGCCCAAGUGAUAAGUCAGGGGGUUCCUCCUUUAAAAAAUCAAGCAGCAUGUUCAAGGAGACAGUCUAUGAGGAAAGGAAGAAAAAACAGAGUGGUGGUGACGGUGGUGAUGGUGAUGGUAAGAGUGACUCAGAACUAGAGCGGUCUUAUGUAAGGAGAAAGGAAAAGCAACGGGUUGCACAAGAAGUAGCUAAAUAAUGUGGCUAUGAACCAACUGUCAAGUGGACAAAAGUAAUGGUUACCUGACCGCUCCCAAGGAGUUGCAUAAUCUGCAUGAAGCCUAUGGUAUCUUCAGGAUGGAGACUCCCAUGAGGUUCCAGAGACAGUUUGUGGAUUUCACUCACUUCUCCAUGUUUGUUUUUGAGAUUAAAAACCCAACAUUUGUUAAAAUACCUUCUUUCCAAUAAAAGACUACAUUUUGCAUCA
This 705-nucleotide long non-coding RNA is filed under the name Meriones unguiculatus (Mongolian gerbil). RNAcentral describes it as "lncRNA (ENSMUGG00000020740.1)". Lineage: Eukaryota; Metazoa; Chordata; Mammalia; Rodentia; Muridae. The record is from RNAcentral.